Molecule: long non-coding RNA, 3213 nt
Organism: Salvelinus fontinalis (brook trout)
Lineage: Eukaryota; Metazoa; Chordata; Actinopteri; Salmoniformes; Salmonidae
Exons: 4
Source: RefSeq, a predicted model, not a curated record
ACAUCAAAACUAUGGAAUCAUGUAGUAACCAAAACAGUGUUAAACAAAUCAAUAUAUAAUUUAUAUUUCAGAUUCUUUAAAGGAGCCACCCUUUGCCUUGAUGACAGCUUUGCACACUCUUGGCAUUCUCUCAGCCAGCUUCAUGAGGUUGUCACCUGGAAUCCAUUUCAAUUAACAGAUGUGCCUUGUCAAAAGUUCAUUUGUGGAAUUUCUUUCCUUAACUCUAGGGUAGGGGGCAGCAUUUGGAAUUUUGGAUGAAAAGCAUGCCCAAAUUAAACUGCCUGCUUCUCGGGCCCAGAAAAUAUGAUAUGCAUAUAACUGGUAGAUUUGGAUAGAGAGCACUCUAACGUUUCCACAACUGUUAAAAUAGUGUCUGUGAGUAUAACAGAACUGAUUUGGCAGGUGAAAACCUGAAAUACAUUCAGGAAGUAGUUUUUUGGGGGGGUUUUGUAGUUUUCUAUUCAAUGCCAUUACAGUAUCCCUUGACUUAGGACUCAAUUCCUAUGCCUUCCACUAGAUGUCAACAGUCUUUAGAAAUGGUUUCAGGCUUGUAUUCUGAAAAAUGAGGAAGUAAGAGCAGUCUGAAUGAGGUGACCCUAAAGUGUCACAGAGCUUUUUCAUGCAUGAGACCGAGAGAGUGCCUUUCUUGUUUACAUUUUAUAUUGACGACGUUAUUGUCCGGUUGAAAUAUUACCGAUUAUUUAGGCUAAAAACAACCUGAGGAUUGAAUAUAAACAUCGUUUGACAUGUUUCUAUAAACUUUACGGAUACAAUUUUGAUUUGUCUGCCUGUUUUGACUGCGUUUGAGCCUGUGGAUUACUGAAGAAAACAGAGGUUUUUGGAUAUAAAGAGACUUUAUCGAACAAAAGGAACAUUUAUUGAGUAAAUGAAUGUCUGCUGAGUGCAACCAUAUGAAGAUCAUCAAAGGUAAGGGAUUAAUUUUAUCUCUUUCUGACUUGUGUAACUCUUCUACUUAGCUGGUUACUGUUUGUAAUGAUUUGUCUAAUGGGCUAUGUUCUCAAAUAAUCGUAAGGUAUGCUUUCGCCAUAAAGCAUUUUUAAAAUCUGACACCGUGGUUGGAUUCACAAGAAGUUAAUCUUUAAACCUAUGUAAAAUAUGUUUUGUUUUCUGAAUUUUUUAUAAUUAGUAUUUCUGUAUUUGAAUUUGGCGCCCAGCAGUUUCACUGGCUGUUGAAGAGGUGGGAUGCUAACGUCUCACGUACCCAAGAGAGGUUAAUGCGUUUGAGCCAAUCAGUUGUAUUGUGACAAGGUAGGGCUGGUAUACAGAAGAUAGCUCUGUCUGGUAAAAUACCAAGUCCAUAUUAUGGCAAGAACAGCUCGAAUAAGCAAAGAGAAACAACAGUCCAUCAUUGCUUUAAGACAUGAAGGUCAAUCAAUCCAGAAAAUGUCAAGAACUUUUUAAAGUUUCCUCAAGUGCAGUCGCAAAAACCAUCAAGCGCUAUAAUGAAACUGGCUCUCAUGAGGACCGCCACAGGAGAGGAAGACCCAGAGUUACCUCUGCUGCAGAGGAUAAGUUCAUUAGGGUUAACUGCACAUCAGAUUGCAGCCCAAAUAAAUGCUUCACAGAGUUCAAGUAACAGACACAUCUCAACAUCAACUGUUCAGAGGAGACUGCUUGAAUCAGGCCUUUAUGGUCAAAUUGCUGCAAAGAAACCACUACUAAAGGACACCAAUAAGAGGAAGAGGCUUGCUUGGACCAAGAAACUCAAGCAAUGGAAUUUAGACCUUGUGGAAAUCUGUCCUUUGUUCUGAUGAGUCCAAAUUUGAGAUUUUUGGUUCCAACCGCCGUAUCUUUGUGAGACGCAGAGUAGGUGAACGGAUGAUCGCCGCAUGUGUCGUUUACACCAUGAAGCAUGGAGGAGGUGAUGUGGGGUGCUUUAGUGUCACCACCGUCAGUAAUUUAUUUAAAAUUCAAAGUACACUUAACCAGCAUGGCUACCACAGCAUUCUGCAGCGAUACACCAUCCCAACUGGCUUGCACUUUUUCCCACUAUCAUUUUGUUUUUCAACAGGACCAAUGAAGGAGAGUGGAGUGCUGCAUCAGAUGACCUGGCCUACACAAUCACCCGACCUCAACCCAAUUGAGAUGGUUUGGGAUAAGUUGGACCGCAGAGUGAAGGAAAAGCAGUCAACAAGUGCUCAGCGUAUGUGGGAACUUCUUCAAGACUGUUGGAAAAGCAUUUCAGACACACACGGUGGAGAGGAUUGGAUUUGUGAAGAUACUGAUGGGGUUGCACAGCUGCACGGAGGGAGCAAAAGCCGAUUUCCCCCUCUGCACCUCCCCAUCCCCACAACGGGACUACCGCCUCUCUCUCUCUCUCUUUCUCUCUCUCUCUUUCCGAGGAGUGGGGGUGGGGGCCGCCGUAUGGGAGCUCAGAAACAUGGAGUGGAUCCGAGGAGGGAGAGAGGGGAAUCUUUUUCCUCCUGGUGCUCGAUGUGGUGCUCUGCUCUGCAUAGUGAGAGGAAGAGAGUGAGAAAUGAACAUGGGUGACUCCUUACCCUGAAAGGCACACGAUCAACAAGAGCAAAGAGGAGGAGGUAGCGGAGGUGUAGGGGAGGGGGUGACAGAAGGGAGGCCGUUCCUCAGAUGGAGCAGGGCGCUCUCUUUUCGUCUCCCCUCAUCAUUGGUAUGCAGUGACUGUUCCCCAGGCGACAGGGCCACUGGGUUGGGGCUAAACUGACUGCAGGAGGAGAGUCGGGUCUACAGAGUAAAUGAGAGGAGAGCAAGACAGCAGGUAAGGGUAAUGAGAACAGGCAGAGAGAGGGAGGAGGACAAGAGAAAGGCGGUUGGGAAGCUAGAUGUCCCAAGGGGCUUUUGGGGGUGAGGCACCGCCUGACCCCUCACACUCCGUACACUGUCCAGGCCCACACACACACACAUAUUAAUGCUUAAACUCCCGACCAGAUACAUUAUGUUCAAGUGCACAUCAUGUAUCCAAAAAGCAAUAACAUAUGAGUUAGGCUAAUGUUUUUGUUUUGCAAGAGCUUUUAUGACUAUAUAGUGAUAAUGUAAUGUUUCUUGAGAUGCAUGCAUAUGAUUUCCUAAAAUAUUUGUAUCUAUGUUAUUCCAUAAAACAUGAAUCUUUAAAAAAAAAAAUAUUUGAAUAUUGUGUAAAGAAAGCAAGUGAUGGAAAGCAAAUAGUGUAAAAUGUCAUUACAAAUAAAAAGUGUGAAAAUAAACUGAUGAAUAUUA